UGGGGAAUAUUGCACAAUGGGCGAAAGCCUGAUGCAGCGACGCCGCGUGAGGGAUGACGGCCUUCGGGUUGUAAACCUCUUUCAGCAGGGACGAAGCGCAAGUGACGGUACCUGCAGAAGAAGCACCGGCUAACUACGUGCCAGCAGCCGCGGUAAUACGUAGGGUGCAAGCGUUGUCCGGAAUUACUGGGCGUAAAGAGUUCGUAGGCGGUUUGUCGCGUCGUUUGUGAAAACCAGCAGCUCAACUGCUGGCAUGCAGGCGAUACGGGCAGACUUGAGUACUGCAGGGGAGACUGGAAUUCCUGGUGUAGCGGUGAAAUGCGCAGAUAUCAGGAGGAACACCGGUGGCGAAGGCGGGUCUCUGGGCAGUAACUGACGCUGAGGAACGAAAGCGUGGGUAGCGAACAGG
RNAcentral lists this ribosomal RNA (409 nucleotides) under Brucella melitensis. RNAcentral's name for it is "partial 16S ribosomal RNA". It matches the Rfam family "Bacterial small subunit ribosomal RNA", at positions 355 to 776 of the family's 1533-position model. The record is from RNAcentral. Lineage: Bacteria; Pseudomonadati; Pseudomonadota; Alphaproteobacteria; Hyphomicrobiales; Brucellaceae. RNAcentral also lists the same sequence under 2 other names.